RNAcentral lists this ribosomal RNA (267 nucleotides) under uncultured bacterium. RNAcentral's name for it is "partial 16S ribosomal RNA". It matches the Rfam family "Bacterial small subunit ribosomal RNA", at positions 793 to 1055 of the family's 1533-position model. The record is from RNAcentral.
GUCCACGCCGUAAACGAUGAUAACUAGCUGCCGGGGCACAUGGUGUUUCGGUGGCGCAGCUAACGCAUUAAGUUAUCCGCCUGGGGAGUACGGUCGCAAGAUUAAAACUCAAAGGAAUUGACGGGGGCCUGCACAAGCGGUGGAGCAUGUGGUUUAAUUCGAAGCAACGCGCAGAACCUUACCAACGUUUGACAUCCCUAUCGCGGUUACCAGAGAUGGUUUCCUUCAGUUCGGCUGGAUAGGUGACAGGUGCUGCAUGGCUGUCGU